CACAUGCACACCUACGUAAAGUAUUUCAA
RNAcentral lists this non-coding RNA (29 nucleotides) under Rattus norvegicus (Norway rat). The record is from RNAcentral. Lineage: Eukaryota; Metazoa; Chordata; Mammalia; Rodentia; Muridae.